Molecule: ribosomal RNA, 513 nt
Filed under: uncultured bacterium
Lineage: Bacteria
Description: partial 16S ribosomal RNA
Rfam family: Bacterial small subunit ribosomal RNA
Source: RNAcentral
GAUGAACGCUGGCGGCGUGCCUAAUACAUGCAAGUCGAGCGAACAGACGAGGAGCUUGCUCCUCUGACGUUAGCGGCGGACGGGUGAGUAACACGUGGAUAACCUACCUAUAAGACUGGGAUAACUUCGGGAAACCGGAGCUAAUACCGGAUAACAUGUUGAACCGCAUGGUUCAACAGUGAAAGACGGUCUUGCUGUCACUUAUAGAUGGAUCCGCGCCGCAUUAGCUAGUUGGUAAGGUAACGGCUUACCAAGGCAACGAUGCGUAGCCGACCUGAGAGGGUGAUCAGCCACGCUGGAACUGAGACACGGUCCAGACUCCUACGGGAGGCAGCAGUAGGGAAUCUUCCGCAAUGGGCGAAAGCCUGACGGAGCAACGCCGCGUGAGUGAAGAAGGUCUUCGGAUCGUAAAACUCUGUUAUUAGGGAAGAACAAAUGUGUAAGUAACUAUGCACGUCUUGGCGGUACCUAAUCAGAAAGCCACGGCUAACUACGUGCCAGCCGCCGCCGUAA